This 263-nucleotide ribosomal RNA is filed under the name Cyclophorus latus. RNAcentral's name for it is "partial 28S ribosomal RNA". It matches the Rfam family "Eukaryotic large subunit ribosomal RNA", at positions 1 to 259 of the family's 3401-position model. The record is from RNAcentral. Lineage: Eukaryota; Metazoa; Mollusca; Gastropoda; Architaenioglossa; Cyclophoridae.
CUCAGAUCGGACGAGAUUACCCGCUGAAUUUAAGCAUAUUACUAAGCGGAGGAAAAGAAACUAACAAGGAUUCCCUCAGUAACGGCGAGUGAAGCGGGAUGAGCCCAGCACCGAAUCCCCCGGCCUGUCGUCGGCGGGAAAUGUGGUGUAUGGGACGCCAACUGCCGUCCGUGCUGGUGUCCGAAGUCCUCCUGAUCGGGGCCUCUCCCAGAGUGGGUGUCAGGCCUUUACUGGUCACCGGCCGGUCGGCUGCGAGCGUCUCA